UUAAGGGACUUGAAUGAAAGAAAAUUUCAAAAUCCAAAAAUUAACCCCUAAAUCCAUAAUCACCCCACUAAAUUAGGGAGAGGGCACCGGCUGAAGAAAAACCCGAGAGAGGGAAAAGGAGUGGCGGAAAGGGGGGAGACUGAGAGCUGAACAAUCAACCAAAUAGAACGCAGACGAGGGGAUUAGAGGCGAUUAGAGGGAGGAAUUUCUCGUCAAAAAUUCGUUGAGAUAGGAAGGAUUCAAAUAAGGACCACCGCUUCAACAGAUACCAAUUUGGAAGCAAGUGUAAGACGAAUUUGAGUUUUAAACACUAAAUUUAAAAUUUGUGCUUUAAUUUCUUGUUUCAGAUAACGAUUGGUGAUGAUUAAAAAUUGGGAGAUAAGAGGACAAAAAGGGACGGUAGUAUGACAGUCGAUCUUUCGUUCUGAAAUAGAUUUAGAGAAUGUUGUAUAGAUGGUAUAUGUAGAAUUGGGAGGUGAAUCUGUUAUGUUUAAAGAAGUGAAUCGGAGAGGGGUUAAUUGAAAUUGUAUUAGUGUGUUAGACCUGUUAUGGAUAGUAUAAGGAAGAUGUUAGAAUAAAUAAAUUAAGGAGAAGUGAGUGAACAAUAGGGGUCUGAAAAAGAAGAAUGCGGACAGAAAUAGACGGGAUGAAAUCAGAGAUAGAGAGUAGAGUAGAAUCUUGGCUUAGGCGAAUGACCAAAGGAAGAGAUAAUAAAGCUGACGGACACGGUAGAGGGAGUGAGUUAAGGAAAAUGGUGUUAGUAGAGGAAGGAUGAACACACUGUAACUGAAAAGAGAAGAAUGAGAUGAGUAGUACAUGGAUAGCAAGUGGGUAAAGCUGGAUAGGGAGAGACCCCAGGUUGUGCACAUAGAAAAUCGAAGAGUGGAAUUAAGGGUUCUGAUCUAGGGGAAGCUCUUGCUAUCACUGAUAAGUUGAGCAUUGAUAAGUUGAGUGGUCCAGGGUGUGUGAGUGGCCAACUAAUGGCCGGAACAUGCAUGGUAAUUGAGUAUUCAUUUGCUGUUAUUUAGUUUCUGGUCUAGAUAUUCCUUUUGGCAUGCUGUGUGCUUGAAGGGGAUGGUGUGAAUGGCCCUAUGAGGGUCGUUUAUUUUGAUCUAGGGGAAGCUCCUGUUGUCGCUAAUAAGUUAAGUGGUCCAUUGGGUGGAGUGGCCAACCGAUGGCCAGAACGUGCUGGGUGAUUGAGUAUUCAUUUGUUGUUAUUUAUUUUCUGGUUUGGAUAUUUCUGUCCACGUGUUGUGUGCUUUGAAUGGGAUGGUGUGAGUGGCCCUAUAAGGGUUGUCUAUCUUGUAUAUGCAUUCUGAUUGUGAAAUAUUUAUGAAAUAAUGAUCUAAACUGUUAAUCUGUCUGACAAAUUCACAUGCAGAUUAUGAAAUAAUUCUGUAUGGGUUUUCAGGUGGGAGAAAAUGAUUAGUUGGGUAUUAUGGUGAAGAAGAGGAUGAAAAUAGAGUUGAGAACGACGAGAAAAAAAAAAAAAAUUAAACCAGAGAGGGAUGAGACUGUAAUGUGAGAAGGGAUAUUACCGAGGGAUCUGAUAAUUAUAGCUUGCAGUGUUAAGAGAAUCCUUUGCUAAAAGCGAAGGAUAGAAAGUACUGAGGUAUAUAUGUGGGAAACUAAGUAAGAGAUGUGAGAGGUCGAGUUCUGGCAACAUGAUAAGGGAAGGGUCAUGGACUGAUUUAAGCAGGAUAGAAGAGUAAUGGGAGAAAACUGGGAAGUUCUGUAAACAGGUUAGAGGAGAAAUUCAUGGGUUAACUUAAGCAGGGAGUGUAGGGGGAAAACUAAGAGGUUCUGUAAUUAAAUCAAAGGGGAACUCAAGGAUAUAAUUACACAGGAGUGUGUUGGAAAGAAUUCUGUGAAAACCAGAAGGUAUACCAGUGGAAAAACUAUGGAUUGUUUGUGGUGGAGAGGGCUGAGAGAGAAUUCUGUAAAUUUCCUGGACGUAUGACGGAAAAAAAAUGGUUGGAUUAGGAGUGCGGGUGUUAAGGGAGAAUCUGGCCUAGGAAUUGCACUAAUUUCAAUACGUUGUUUCAAAUUAUAAAUUUGACUUACUGGGCAUGUGUAGGCUUAUUACUGUUUAUUUACAGAUACAGUGAAGUAGGAACAAUUUUAGGAACCUUCAAUAACGAACCACACCACCUAGAGGACACAAAGAGUGUCAACGGAAGUAGUAUCAGAUAUGACACUUACCCACCACACCUAUACAUGUAGGAUAUAUUUUUCUUUUUCUUUUAUUGUGAUGAACUAUGAGGACCAUGACUUACAUGAGAAUAUAGUGUACAUAGAAGUGGAUAACUUUUAUAAGAUAUAUGGAUGAUUAUAUCUUCGAAUGAGAAGGAUUAUAUUGUGUUGCACUUAAUGAUGAUGUAAAAUGAACAUUCCACAUGGAAAUAUGAGGGUGCUUUGGCCAUUAGGGUACGGGGCGUUAUAAUUGGUAUCAGAGCAAUUUGAUUCUUGAAACUCGAAUCUGAAGUGGGAGCAUUUAAAUUCCUGGAUUAUGAAAAUUGGAAUUAAUUUAUUAAUUCUAUGGUGAAUAAGGUGUGCGAGUU
RNAcentral lists this long non-coding RNA (2561 nucleotides) under Carica papaya (papaya). RNAcentral describes it as "long non-coding RNA (CPAP_LNC000281)". The record is from RNAcentral. Lineage: Eukaryota; Viridiplantae; Streptophyta; Magnoliopsida; Brassicales; Caricaceae.